Long non-coding RNA from Cajanus cajan (pigeon pea), 292 nucleotides. RefSeq lists it as uncharacterized. NCBI's taxonomy places the organism in Eukaryota, Viridiplantae, Streptophyta, Magnoliopsida, Fabales, Fabaceae. The record is from RefSeq and is a predicted model, not a curated record.
UAUAGUCAUUAUUCUUAGGGAAGAUGCUAUUGUGUUGUUUUGUUUCUUGCAUAGCAAAGAGACCGAUUAAAAUGAAGUACUAUUAUAUAGGUGUUGUGGCCACUUGAAAGAGGAAUGAGCCUUACUUGGAUUUAUCCCAAAAUGAAGAGAGAGAAAAUAAAGAUUAAACAAAACAAAAACAGAGAAAAAAUAGAGCACUAAAGAAGAGGAAAGCUUCAAGACCAUUUGGGGACAGGGAUCUUGGGUUCAAUCUUUUCUUUUCUAUGCUUUUAUGUUAAAUGGAGAUUUCUCU